RNAcentral lists this non-coding RNA (69 nucleotides) under Bifidobacterium scaligerum. Its description in RNAcentral is "SAM-VI sequence". It matches the Rfam family "SAM-VI (S-adenosyl methionine) riboswitch aptamer". From Rfam's summary of the family: sixth member of the riboswitch family predominantly found in Bifidobacterium and exhibits some similarities to the SAM-III (Smk box) riboswitch class, but it lacks most of the highly-conserved nucleotides of SAM-III class. SAM-VI aptamers bind the cofactor S-adenosylmethinine SAM (a key metabolite in sulphur metabolism) and discriminate strongly against S-adenosylhomocysteine SAH. The record is from Rfam by way of RNAcentral. Lineage: Bacteria; Bacillati; Actinomycetota; Actinomycetes; Bifidobacteriales; Bifidobacteriaceae.
CGUAUCAUUGUGCUUCGUGCCCGAUUCGGCGCGGGGCGAUAAGUCCUGACACGAAAGGGAUGAUAUGAC